This 168-nucleotide ribosomal RNA is filed under the name uncultured bacterium. RNAcentral's name for it is "partial 16S ribosomal RNA". It matches the Rfam family "Bacterial small subunit ribosomal RNA", at positions 1334 to 1500 of the family's 1533-position model. The record is from RNAcentral.
GCUAGUAAUCGCGAAUCAGAAUGUCGCGGUGAAUACGUUCCCGGGUCUUGUACACACCGCCCGUCACACCAUGGGAGUCGGUAACGCCCGAAGCCUGUGACCCAACCUAAUAGGAGGGAGCAGUCGAAGGUGGGACCGGUGACUGGGGUGAAGUCGUAACAAGGUACC